Molecule: ribosomal RNA, 406 nt
Filed under: Fusobacteriota bacterium
Lineage: Bacteria; Fusobacteriati; Fusobacteriota
Description: Fusobacteria bacterium partial 16S ribosomal RNA
Rfam family: Bacterial small subunit ribosomal RNA
Source: RNAcentral
UGGGGAAUCUUGCACAAUGGGGGAAACCCUGAUGCAGCGACGCCGCGUGAGCGAUGAAGCCCUUCGGGGUGUAAAGCUCUUUCGGCAGGGACGAAUACUGACGGUACCUGCAGAAGCAGCUGCGGCUAACUACGUGCCAGCAGCCGCGGUAAUACGUAGGCAGCGAGCGUUGUUCGGAGUUACUGGGCGUAAAGGGUGUGUAGGCGGUCCUCUAAGUUCGGUGUGAAAUCUCCCAGCUCAACUGGGAGGGUGCGCCGGAAACUGGAGGGCUUCGAGUGCGGGAUGGGAGAGUGGAAUUCCUGGUGUAGCGGUGAAAUGCGUAGAUAUCAGGAGGAACACCGGCGGUGUAGACGGCUCUCUGGACCGUAACUGACGCUGAGACACGAAAGCGUGGGUAGCAAACAGG